UCUCCUCCUAACUCAGUGUGUGACUGCUCCUGUAUCCAGCUGGGAUUUCCUGGACUCAUAGAAAAACAGCUGACAGASAGCUCAUAGAUGCUAGAUUAAUAAAGCUGAAGGAACAACACAACACUAGAAGUCAUUCAGGAAUGGAAGAUGCAGUGAGAGCAUCCCUUGCAGAGAGAUAAGGAAGAAGACACAACCGCCAGAAGGCUGGUGUGGGACAGGCAUGACACAAAUCUGCAGAACUGAAAUUACUGUUUUAAUUAAA
Malurus melanocephalus (red-backed fairy wren) is the source of this 262-nucleotide long non-coding RNA. RefSeq lists it as uncharacterized. NCBI's taxonomy places the organism in Eukaryota, Metazoa, Chordata, Aves, Passeriformes, Maluridae. The transcript has 3 exons. The record is from RefSeq and is a predicted model, not a curated record.